UGGGGAAUAUUGCACAAUGGGCGCAAGCCUGAUGCAGCCAUGCCGCGUGUAUGAAGAAGGCCUUCGGGUUGUAAAGUACUUUCAGCGGGGAGGAAGGGAGUAAAGUUAAUACCUUUGCUCAUUGACGUUACCCGCAGAAGAAGCACCGGCUAACUCCGUGCCAGCAGCCGCGGUAAUACGGAGGGUGCAAGCGUUAAUCGGAAUUACUGGGCGUAAAGCGCACGCAGGCGGUUUGUUAAGUCAGAUGUGAAAUCCCCGGGCUCAACCUGGGAACUGAAUCUGAUACUGGCAAGCUUGAGUCUCGUAGAGGGGGGUAGAAUUCCAGGUGUAGCGGUGAAAUGCGUAGAGAUCUGGAGGAAUACCGGUGGCGAAGGCGGCCCCCUGGACGAAGACUGACGCUCAGGUGCGAAAGCGUGGGGAGCAAACAGG
RNAcentral lists this ribosomal RNA (429 nucleotides) under Chloroflexota bacterium. RNAcentral describes it as "Chloroflexi bacterium partial 16S ribosomal RNA". It matches the Rfam family "Bacterial small subunit ribosomal RNA", at positions 355 to 776 of the family's 1533-position model. Lineage: Bacteria; Bacillati; Chloroflexota. The record is from RNAcentral.